This is a non-coding RNA of Pelobates cultripes (western spadefoot toad), 203 nucleotides long. NCBI's taxonomy places the organism in Eukaryota, Metazoa, Chordata, Amphibia, Anura, Pelobatidae. The record is from the annotation of a GenBank genome assembly.
CUCAGGAAGUUGUGCUUUCUAACUCAUAGUAGCUUAGUAGUGGUUGCCUUCUGCAUCCCUCCACUACUUUAUAUGCUGUCUGGAUUCAAGACAAUCAGGAAAGCUAUUCCUACAUUGUCCAAAACUACUACUACUACCUACUGAGAAUAUUUUGCCUUAGUUUGCCUCACCCCCCGUUCCAUCUUUAUCCUAUAACAACUGAU